CCUACGGGAGGCAGCAGUGGGGAAUAUUGCACAAUGGGGGAAACCCUGAUGCAGCGACGCCGCGUGAGUGAAGAAGUGUUUCGGUAUGUAAAGCUCUAUCAGCAGGGCAGAAAAUGACGGUACCUGAUUAAGAAGCCCCGGCUAACUACGUGCCAGCAGCCGCGGUAAUUCGUAGGGGGCAAGCGUUAUCCGGAUUUACUGGGUGUAAAGGGAGCGUAGACGGGAGCACAAGUCUGGAGUGAAAUGCCGGGGCUUAACCCCGGAACUGCAUAGGAAACUGUGCAGCUAGAGUGCGGGAGAGGUAAGUGGAAUUCCUAGUGUAGCGGUGAAAUGCGUAGAUAUUAGGAAGAACACCAGUGGCGAAGGCGGCUUGCUGGACUGUAACUGACGUUGAGGCUCGAAAGCGUGGGGAGCAAACAGGAUUAGAUACCCUGGUAGUC
RNAcentral lists this ribosomal RNA (440 nucleotides) under uncultured bacterium. RNAcentral's name for it is "partial 16S ribosomal RNA". It matches the Rfam family "Bacterial small subunit ribosomal RNA", at positions 338 to 795 of the family's 1533-position model. The record is from RNAcentral.